UCUCCUGCCAUCUGUUUGUUGUCACUGUUCACAGCAAGACGCAUCACUGUUGCACUCACAUUACUUACUUACAUGGAAAAAUCCUCUCUUCAAGCACAGCUGAGUCGCCUCACGCCGGGGGUGUGGACGGUGUUUUCCCCGUCGGGAAGCGUUUCUGGUUUCUAGGGUGUCAGGACCUGUUGCCGUGGGCGUGUUUUUCUGCCUGCAUGUGCAGCUGUCAGUGCAGUCUGCUAAACAUGAACAUCAAUGUAGAAAGCAAUUGUUUCCGUAUUGCAUUGCAGUUUGUUUGUAAUAUUAUGCAUGACUGAUUGUCCAGUUAAGAGUUUACACAACAUGAACAAGUAUUUUGGUAAGGACACCUUAAAUUAUUUUUUUUUAAGUUUUGUGACAAAAGAAAUGUACUGAGCAGGACAUUUUACAGAUGACAAAUAAACCUAUGUAAGAAAUCA
Long non-coding RNA from Micropterus salmoides (largemouth bass), 449 nucleotides. RefSeq lists it as uncharacterized. Lineage: Eukaryota; Metazoa; Chordata; Actinopteri; Centrarchiformes; Centrarchidae. The record is from RefSeq and is a predicted model, not a curated record. The transcript is spliced from 2 exons.